GUGCAGUGCGUAAUGUGUCCAACGGCCAAGUUACAAAGUGGAGAGGGGAUGAUUGUUUGGUUUUGAAUUUCGGAGAAGAGAGUUCUUCCAUUCGAGAAUCGAGAAUUUCUGUUUGUUAGUUCACUUUUCACUACGGUUUGAAGCUUUAAAGUGGACGACAUAUCGCACAGUGCACUCCAGUAAUCCAAUGAGAUAGGUAGUUGUAGUGUUUCAAUUAUUUAGUUUCUUUCCGUUGUUUUUCCUGUUUCCUGUGUUCUUCAUUUUUGUCUUCGGUCCUCUUCAUCACUGAGUCUGCUCCUGAGCCAACAGUGUCAGUGCAGCAAAGAAGCGAGACCAAACAGCAGUAAAUAACAAGAGCUUGCAUAGAUGAGGAAAUAUCAUCAGAUAAUCUUUAGUUCCAUUGAGAGAGAUGGACAAUUUCCAGUCAGAAUGGGAGGAGAAAAUCGUUUAUAAAAUCAUAUGAGGACAGUGGGGAGCGCUAAUAUUGGCCAAUGUGUCAAUAAUAUCUUGAGAAGAUUAAUGAUUGAUGAGCUGGCCAUGAUAUUCUCAUAUACUGGCCGUGCAUCAAACAGGAACACAAAAACUCCAUUUCAUGGGAGUGAUAUAUCGAAAUGCAUACUGAUUGCUGUUCAAACGUUGUUUGGUGACAUUGCAACUGCAGUGUAAUAUGGAUUGUUGGCGUCAAAAUGGCUUCAACAAGCCAGAACAAGGGUGUUGAGAAGGACCAAGAGCAGAGAGAGACUACGUCUCAUGAAGCUUAAAUCAAGGACGAUAGCAGCUCAAAGUAAAAAUAUAUAAUGAGUUAUAAGUUGAAAGUUCGAUUUUUGUAAUAAUUAAUUAAAAUCAUUGCAUUGAACAUUGCAUGUAAACUCAGAACAGUGUAUACUUGAAAAUGUUACUUAUGUCCCAGAUCUCACUAAUAAUUUAAUGUCAGUAAAUGCAAUUACCGAAAAUGGUGGAAAAGUUUUGUUUACUAAAAGUAAAGUCCAAAUCAUGAAAAACGAAAUUGUUAUUUUGGAAGGGAAUAAGCAAGGUUUAUAUGAAGUUCAAUUAAAAGAAGAAAUUAAAAAUAAUGUAACUAUUGCAGAAUAUGCCAGUAAAAUAGGUAAUCAU
Nilaparvata lugens (brown planthopper) is the source of this 1113-nucleotide long non-coding RNA. RefSeq lists it as uncharacterized. The record is from RefSeq and is a predicted model, not a curated record. Lineage: Eukaryota; Metazoa; Arthropoda; Insecta; Hemiptera; Delphacidae. The transcript is spliced from 5 exons.